RNAcentral lists this ribosomal RNA (468 nucleotides) under uncultured bacterium. Its description in RNAcentral is "partial 16S ribosomal RNA". It matches the Rfam family "Bacterial small subunit ribosomal RNA", at positions 28 to 507 of the family's 1533-position model. The record is from RNAcentral.
GACGAACGCUGGCGGCGUGCUUAACACAUGCGAGUCGAACGGAAAGGCCCUGCUUUUGUGGGGUGCUCGAGUGGCGAACGGGUGAGUAACACGUGAGUAACCUGCCCUUGACUUUGGGAUAACUUCAGGAAACUGGGGCUAAUACCGGAUAGGAGCCCCUGCUGCAUGGUGGGGGUUGGAAAGUUUCGGCGGUUGGGGAUGGACUCGCGGCUUAUCAGCUUGUUGGUGGGGUAGUGGCUUACCAAGGCUUUGACGGGUAGCCGGCCUGAGAGGGUGACCGGCCACAUUGGGACUGAGAUACGGCCCAGACUCCUACGGGAGGCAGCAGUGGGGAAUAUUGCACAAUGGGCGGAAGCCUGAUGCAGCAACGCCGCGUGCGGGAUGACGGCCUUCGGGUUGUAAACCGCUUUCGCCUGUGACGAAGCGUGAGUGACGGUAAUGGGUAAAGAAGCACCGGCUAACUACGUG